AAUGAACGCUGGCGGGCGUGCCUAAUACAUGCAAGUCGAGCGAAUGGAUUAAGAGCUUGCUCUUAUGAAGUUAGCGGCGGACGGGUGAGUAACACGUGGGUAACCUGCCCAUAAGACUGGGAUAACUCCGGGAAACCGGGGCUAAUACCGGAUAACAUUUUGAACCGCAUGGUUCGAAAUUGAAAGGCGGCUUCGGCUGUCACUUAUGGAUGGACCCGCGUCGCAUUAGCUAGUUGG
Molecule: ribosomal RNA, 237 nt
Filed under: Bacillus sp. E2HC-13
Lineage: Bacteria; Bacillati; Bacillota; Bacilli; Caryophanales; Bacillaceae
Description: partial 16S ribosomal RNA
Rfam family: Bacterial small subunit ribosomal RNA
Source: RNAcentral